UACGUAGGGUGCAAGCGUUGUCCGGAAUUAUUGGGCGUAAAGAGCUCGUAGGCGGUCUGUCGCGUCUGCUGUGAAAACUCAGGGCUUAACCCUGAGCUUGCAGUGGGUACGGGCAGACUAGAGUUCGGUAGGGGAGACUGGAAUUCCUGGUGUAGCGGUGAAAUGCGUAGAUAUUGGGAAGAACACCAGUGGCGAAAGCGGACUUCUGGGUUGUUACUGACGCUGAGGUACGAAAGCGUGGGGAGCAAACGGG
RNAcentral lists this ribosomal RNA (253 nucleotides) under uncultured bacterium. Its description in RNAcentral is "partial 16S ribosomal RNA". It matches the Rfam family "Bacterial small subunit ribosomal RNA", at positions 524 to 776 of the family's 1533-position model. The record is from RNAcentral.